AUGCUGCUCUCCCUCAUCUUGCCCUGCGCCAAUGACGUCCUUAGCUCCCGCGUCGACUCCAACCAAGACAGCCUCCUCCGCCUCGCCGCGUACUGGGCCGCCUUACUUCUCUUCAAGCUCCUCUACUUUGGUCUCUGCUACGUGUUCACGCUCUUCUGCACCUGCGCCUACGUGUUCCUAGUCGCUUCUCUCUAUUGCACCGGCGGCGAUUUCGCCGCCGCCAAUCACGGCCGCCACGCCCUCCCAGUCGACCCGUCCAGGCGGCUUAAUCGCACCUUCUUCUUCCUCGCAAUCCCUCUACUGAUCACAUUCUACGCCGGCGCCCAAGCCUGGAUCGCGCUCCAGCAGCUGGACGCUCCGGGCGUGGUCACCCUGCCGCUGCAGCUCAUGGGCGGGGCCGCGUGCCUUGCCGGCGCCGCGUACGCCGCCGUCGUCUGCCAGCUGGCCUGCGUGGUCUCCCUCCUCGAGGACGCCUGGCUUCUCACCGCCAUACGCAGGAGCCGCGCGCUCCUCGCCGGCAAGUUCUGGCCGGCGGCGGCCAUCUUCCUCACGCUCGACGCCUGCAUCGUGGCUCUGCUAAUGGCCUACACGGUUCUGGUGGUGGCGGUGCGCGACGCGCUGGGGCUGCGUCUCGCUUUCCUGCUGGCUGCGGGAGUUGGGAUGACAGUCGCUCUGUGGGCGGUGCUCGUCGUCACGCUGGUGGCGCAGCCGGUGGUGUACCUCGUCUGCAAGAACCACCACCACGAGGUCGUUGACAACGUCCACCUCAACUACGUCGGAGAGUACGAGCGGCUCGCCGUCGACGGCGACAAUGGCGUGGAGCUGCAGCCGGCGCCGCAGGUCACUACAACUGCCUAG
This 858-nucleotide ribosomal RNA is filed under the name Triticum aestivum (bread wheat). RNAcentral's name for it is "partial small subunit ribosomal RNA". Lineage: Eukaryota; Viridiplantae; Streptophyta; Magnoliopsida; Poales; Poaceae. The record is from RNAcentral.